AGAGUAGUAGGUUGCAUAGUA
This 21-nucleotide microRNA is filed under the name Rattus norvegicus (Norway rat). RNAcentral's name for it is "rno-miR-352". Its record names the gene rno-miR-352. Lineage: Eukaryota; Metazoa; Chordata; Mammalia; Rodentia; Muridae. The record is from miRBase by way of RNAcentral.